AUACGUAGGGGGCGAGCGUUGUCCGGAUUUAUUGGGCGUAAAGCGCGCGUAGGCGGUUUGCUCAGUCGGAUGUGAAAGCCCAGGGCUCAACCUUGGAACUGCAUACGAUACUGGCAAACUAGAGUGUGAGAGAGGAUAGUGGAAUUUCCGGUGUAGCGGUGAAAUGCGUAGAUAUCGGAAGGAACAUCAGUGGCGAAGGCGACUGUCUGGCUCAACACUGACGCUGAGGUGCGAAAGCGUGGGUAGCAAACAGGAUUAGAAACCCUAGUAGUCC
This 274-nucleotide ribosomal RNA is filed under the name uncultured bacterium. RNAcentral's name for it is "partial 16S ribosomal RNA". It matches the Rfam family "Bacterial small subunit ribosomal RNA", at positions 523 to 796 of the family's 1533-position model. The record is from RNAcentral.